Molecule: long non-coding RNA, 1929 nt
Organism: Limanda limanda (common dab)
Lineage: Eukaryota; Metazoa; Chordata; Actinopteri; Pleuronectiformes; Pleuronectidae
Exons: 3
Source: RefSeq, a predicted model, not a curated record
GCCGGGGCGGCGGAGAGGUUCCUCUUCAGCCGCCUGCGUCUCGACAGGAGGGAGCCGGAGCUGCCGGACAAGCCCCGGCCAUUAGCCGCCACGGCUCGGUCUGACGCACCGGAUCCCGGGGUCGUGGCGGAGUGAGGGAGGCUGUUCCCGUUCCGGCUGUUGCCGUUCCUCGCCUCCGCGCGGGAGGGAGCCGAGCGUCCGACGCCAUCGUCCAGCGGAGUCCCGCCGCGGGAGAGGGACAGUCCGCCGGGCUUCUUCACGAACUUCCCCGCGUCCUCAGCGGCAGCCCGCACGCCUUCCAUCGCUGUCCCGGCGUGUCUGUUCACACAGGGAGCCUAUCCAGGAGGAUGUUUAAGAUGCUGGCUUGCCUGUCCACGGAGCCACGGAUAGUGACAUCAGCAAAUGUCCCUACUAUGCUGCCAAAAUGACGGCGUCGAGUGGAACGGCAUAUGCCAGUCAACUCGCCAUGGCCGACCUCUGACACCCAACGGGACAUGUUCUGUUUGCGACUUGGAUUGCUGCUCUGGCUGGAUUCGCUGCAUGGUAUCUGAUGUGAUCCUGCCUCCAGCCUGUCAUUUUGCUGCUGAGAGAGGGAGAGGGAGAGAGGGAGAGGGAGAAGAAACAUUGAAGGAAGGCGAAUAAGGGGAUUUAGACCAUUCCAUAGUUUAAUACAAACAUUCUUUAGGGUCCAAGCUAAUUCAAUAUUACACUUAAAAACUGUAACUGGCUAUACGGCUGACAAUGAUGCACCUAUAUACAAUACACUGUUACACAAUUACAGUUCUUUUUUUUAAAUCCAUUCUCACAUUUCGUAAUUCAUACUUGGCCUCCAGAAAGUUGGUACAUGUGCACAAGUGAUACGGAUCCGAAGCUGUUUUUCAAGACAUAGCACACCUACACUUUGACAAGUGCAUGUUUUAUUAAAACUAUUUCAGAUAAUUGAAUGUCUACUGAUGCAUGUUGAAAUGAUUUAAUUAUUUGCUUUGGGUUUUUAAGCUAUAUUAUGAUUAAGGUGUAAACAGAGAAGUUUGAGAAGGAAAUUUUCUUCUUCUAAUAUUAAUGGUUUAUCUAAAUUCUUUUAAUAGACCUGUAGUUUAUCUACUUGACGGUUACUUAUGUUCGAGGUAGGUCUUUUAACAUCUCAUUUGUUUUGAAUACACAAGUAUCCACCAUCGCUACAACUGGGUACCCAUCAUGUAUAUGACUUUGACGUAAGUUUUCUCCUGUUAGUACAAAAUUAUAAUAAUACAAAAUUAAUUACACUGCAUGUGUAAUUAAUUUUAAUUUUCACCCUGACACAGUAUGCUUGUUGCACACAGAGUACCAAAGGAGAUGUGUUGAUAGUAACAUUUAAACCAGGAUGCUGUGCUCUCAACGCAUACUGUCUGCAUGUGACUCUGCAGUAUUCUUUCAUUAGCAAAGCUCAUUCAGGACAACAGCUCGAGUGCAGCUGUUUGGUCACAGCCAUGGAAACCUAAGUAAUGAUACUGAUGUGUUAUGCAUUCUCGUUUCUCAGGUUCCUGCUGCAGAAAGAUGGCAAUAUAGUAUGUUGGGCAUGGACUGCCUGAUAUGUAGGGUCCAUGUUUAAUUCAUUUUCAUGCAAGUGUUUUUUUUUAAAAUGCUAAAAGUGUUUUUGGAAAUACAGAAGGGACACAUACUUGAAUUUCAGGGACGCAGGUUGAGUAAAACUUUGUGUUACGUGGGGAGGACUAAUUUGUGUUGUUUUUGAAUUCUCUUGCAUUUUCAAUAACCCCAGUUCUUAUAUCCCUUUGUGUGUCUAACUGAACAGAGCUUUAUUAGUAACUGAAGAGAUAGAGUAACCUUCAUGGUAUGAGAGGAAAAAUCCAGUAGUAUGUCCUGCUCCAAACGGUGAAAUGAAACUCUCUUCUUUUUUUUCUGUUCAUGCGGAAAUAAAGUGGAUUCACUUGG